GGGUUCAUGGCCUAAUGGUAAGGCGUCAGAUUUCGGUUCCGUCUUCUAGGUUCUCCGCUCUCUGAAGAUUGCAGGUUCGAUCCCUGCUGAGCUCG
Molecule: non-coding RNA, 95 nt
Organism: Daldinia sp. FL1419
Lineage: Eukaryota; Fungi; Ascomycota; Sordariomycetes; Xylariales; Hypoxylaceae
Source: the annotation of a GenBank genome assembly